GUCAAACCACUACGAUAUUUAGAUUUUACUGAAUAUACCUGAAAGUGAUGUUGCAUGCUUAUUGUAGAAUGGCAAUAUUUAAAAUAGGUCAAAAAUUACAUCCUCUAUAAUUGUUUAACUUUAUAAUGAAAAAAAAUCUUGUUGACAGCUUAAAAUGUGAGAGGUACAUAGUUUAAAUUUUCAGAGUAAAUACUAUCAAAAAUAAUUUAAGAUGUGCUACCUAAGGCAGUAAACUUU
This is a long non-coding RNA of Sapajus apella (tufted capuchin), 237 nucleotides long. RefSeq lists it as uncharacterized. NCBI's taxonomy places the organism in Eukaryota, Metazoa, Chordata, Mammalia, Primates, Cebidae. The record is from RefSeq and is a predicted model, not a curated record. The transcript is spliced from 2 exons.